RNAcentral lists this long non-coding RNA (223 nucleotides) under Lathyrus oleraceus (garden pea). RNAcentral's name for it is "Pisum sativum (pea) long non-coding RNA (PSAT_LNC011582)". Lineage: Eukaryota; Viridiplantae; Streptophyta; Magnoliopsida; Fabales; Fabaceae. The record is from RNAcentral.
UGAAAUUGUAACUGCCCAAAUGCUUCUACACAAGGGUUCUAUUUAUAGAACCACUUGUGUGGGCUACAAGCUAAAAAGCCCACUCAAGUGUAUGUGGCCCAUAUCUUAUAAUAUGCCAAAAUCACUUAAGCGCGUGAUACCUUACCAUAUUUCGUAUUCUACUUAAGUACAUCGUACCUUACAAUGUUCUAUAAUUCACUUAAGUGCACAGUACAUUACGUUA